UUGCUCCCUUAGGUCAGCGGCGGACGGGUGAGUAACACGUGGGUAACCUGCCUGUAAGACUGGGAUAACUCCGGGAAACCGGGGCUAAUACCGGAUGCUUGAUUGAACCGCAUGGUUCAAUUAUAAAAGGUGGCUUUUAGCUACCACUUACAGAUGGACCCGCGGCGCAUUAGCUAGUUGGUGAGGUAACGGCUCACCAAGGCAACGAUGCGUAGCCGACCUGAGAGGGUGAUCGGCCACACUGGGACUGAGACACGGCCCAGACUCCUACGGGAGGCAGCAGUAGGGAAUCUUCCGCAAUGGACGAAAGUCUGACGGAGCAACGCCGCGUGAGUGAUGAAGGUUUUCGGAUCGUAAAACUCUGUUGUUAGGGAAGAACAAGUACCGUUCAAAUAGGGCGGUACCUUGACGGUACCUAACCAGAAAGCCACGGCUAACUACGUGCCAGCAGCCGCGGUAAUACGUAGGUGGCAAGCGUUGUCCGGAAUUAUUGGGCGUAAAGCGCGCGCAGGCGGUUUCUUAAGUCUGAUGUGAAAGCCCCCGGCUCAACCGGGGAGGGUCAUUGGAAACUGGGGAACUUGAGUGCAGAAGAGGAGAGUGGAAUUCCACGUGUAGCGGUGAAAUGCGUAGAGAUGUGGAGGAACACCAGUGGCGAAGGCGACUCUCUGGUCUGUAACUGACGCUGAGGCGCGAAAGCGUGGGGAGCGAACAGGAUUAGAUACCCUGGUAGUCCACGCCGUAAACGAUGAGUGCUAAGUGUUAGAGGGUUUCCGCCCUUUAGUGCUGCAGCAAACGCAUUAAGCACUCCGCCUGGGGAGUACGGUCGCAAGACUGAAACUCAAAGGAAUUGACGGGGGCCCGCACAAGCGGUGGAGCAUGUGGUUUAAUUCGAAGCAACGCGAAGAACCUUACCAGGUCUUGACAUCCUCUGACAACCCUAGAGAUAGGGCUUCCCCUUCGGGGGCAGAGUGACAGGUGGUGCAUGGUUGUCGUCAGCUCGUGUCGUGAGAUGUUGGGUUAAGUCCCGCAACGAGCGCAACCCUUGAUCUUAGUUGCCAGCAUUCAGUUGGGCACUCUAAGGUGACUGCCGGUGACAAACCGGAGGAAGGUGGGGAUGACGUCAAAUCAUCAUGCCCCUUAUGACCUGGGCUACACACGUGCUACAAUGGGCAGAACAAAGGGCAGCGAAGCCGCGAGGCUAAGCCAAUCCCACAAAUCUGUUCUCAGUUCGGAUCGCAGUCUGCAACUCGACUGCGUGAAG
Molecule: ribosomal RNA, 1261 nt
Filed under: Bacillus licheniformis
Lineage: Bacteria; Bacillati; Bacillota; Bacilli; Caryophanales; Bacillaceae
Description: bacterial SSU rRNA
Rfam family: Bacterial small subunit ribosomal RNA
Source: RNAcentral